Molecule: ribosomal RNA, 407 nt
Filed under: Rhizopogon luteolus
Lineage: Eukaryota; Fungi; Basidiomycota; Agaricomycetes; Boletales; Rhizopogonaceae
Description: eukaryotic LSU rRNA
Rfam family: Eukaryotic large subunit ribosomal RNA (bases 245-407)
Source: RNAcentral
CUGGUUCCAUUAGAGGAAGUAAAAGUCGUAACAAGGUUUCCGUAGGUGAACCUGCGGAAGGAUCAUUAUUGAAAUAAGAGCUCUCCUGAAAUACAUUGGCUUGCGGGUCUACUUUCGACUUUGUGCGAUAAGGCUUUCGGUGUGAUAAUGAUCACCGUAUGCUGAAGUGCAUAACUGUAAAGUUCCGUGCCUCUAAUAUUGUCGAUCCUAUCCUUAUAGGAUGGAUCUUCCUUAUAUGACAUUUUGACCUCAAAUCAGGUAGGACUACCCGCUGAACUUAAGCAUAUCAAUAAGCGGAGGAAAAGAAACUAACAAGGAUUCCCCUAGUAACUGCGAGUGAACCGGGAAAAGCUCAAAUUUUGAAUCUGGCAGUCCUUUGAGGUUGUCCGAAUUGUAAUCUAGAGAAG